This 351-nucleotide ribosomal RNA is filed under the name uncultured archaeon. Its description in RNAcentral is "bacterial SSU rRNA". It matches the Rfam family "Archaeal small subunit ribosomal RNA", at positions 60 to 413 of the family's 1478-position model. The record is from RNAcentral.
UAACGUAUGAAUAAUACGUGGCGAACGGCUCAGUAACACGUAGUCAACAUAGCCCAAAGGACGUGGAUAACCUCGGGAAACUGAGGAUAAACCGCGAUAGGUCAUAAUUACUGGAAUGUGUUAUGGCCCAAAUCUAUAUGGCCUUUGGAUUGGACUGCGGCCGAUCAGGCUGUUGGUGAGGUAAUGGCCCACCAAACCUUUUACCGGUACGGGCUCUGAGAGGAGGAGCCCGGAGAUGGGCACUGAGACAAGGGCCCAGGCCCUAUGGGGCGCAGCAGGCGCGAAACCUCUGCAAUAGGCGAAAGCCUGACAGGGUUACUCUGAGUGAUUCCCGCUAAGGGAAUCUUUUGG